GGAAGGUGUAUGGAGCGAGGAGGCAGUGGGAUUGGAGGGACAGAGAAUCUCGACGUGGAGAUGGCGCAGUCUUGCUCAUCUAAUGUUAGGGAAAGUGCCAGAGGACUGGAGGGUGCCUGAUGUGGUUCCAUCUUUCAAGAAGGGUGGUAGAGAUGAACCACAAAAUUACAGACUGGAGAGCCUCGCAUCAGUGGUAGGGAAACCAAUGGAGAAAAUUCCAAAGGAGCAAAUGAAUACCCACUUGGAAAGAUUGCACUGCUGAAAUUUUCACAACUGAAAGAUCAGCCACAGACCAAUAAAGGAAGAGAAACCUAAAAAAUUCCAACAACUUUUUCUGUUCAUUAAGUUGUCCAUUUCCAUCUCCGAGGUCACUCACCUCUGUACAUUUUAGCUCAUCUACUGUGAAAGACCUCACCUAUUCCAUCAUCACCUCCAGAUUCAAAUGUCCAAAUAUUCAUCUGGCAAACCUCCAAAAUGUAGUCAAUAAACUGGCUCAUCCAAAAUUGCACUUUUUGGAACAGAGUUCCACUCACCCACAGCUCUAUUGCUAUUACUUGUUGCAAUUUAAAAAUUCUCAUCAUCCUCCACAGUCUUGGCACCUCUCCCCCACCUAUAGACUUAGUUCUUAUAGGUACUGCAUCCAUGUUGUAUUCUUCAUACUCUGGCAUUGUGUAAGCCCCCUUCCUUUGUCCCUUCCAUGAAUUUGUCCCACCAUGACAACGCUUCAGACUGGAAAUACACAUGAAAAGCAGCAUGUUUGAAACAAACAAACAAAGUCAUUUAAGAUUGCAGACUCAUCAGAACAUUGGAGCCUUUAAAUAUAUUCCAACAGAUUUGAAAAAAUAUUGAGCAUUUAUUUAUAACUGUUUGGAAUAAUUCAGCAAACAAUGGCAAUAUAACGUGGAGUCUCUUUACAAACUGUUCAGAUGUAUGUUUUCUUUUGAGAUUGCAGAACAUAUAUAUUGUCAAUAAUUAUCAGGUUCCUAUGUUGAAAAAAGAGCUUGGACUGUCUUUGAGCAAUUCUACAGGGAGCUUCAUGUAAAUAAUGACAUGCCAAGAAAGGUGUUCAAAGAAAGCACAACUACAUAAUAUAUUUUGGUAUAAUGAGAAAUACUGUACUAUUAUUAGCAAAUAUAGAAACAUGAUAAACUGACAGCAUCUGUAUUUUGCAGGAGUUUAAAAGCCUACAGCACAUCUCAACUAUACUCAAAACUGGUAUACCUGCAUAAAAUCUUCUGGUUUAGAUUUUUUGAAAAAAGCUUAGUUUUAUUCAUCAGCAACAUGAAGCCUAAAUGUUUAAGGCCAAAGUCACUGGAGUGUAACAGGCUAUGAAAAGAUGUUUAAAUCAGGCAUGAUUUUUAAAACAGAUUUGCUUCAUAACAAGUGAUGUAUUUGUUAUAAAAACGUUAUUUUUAACAUUGCAUACAUACAAAAACAUUUAAUUUGAUGCUUUAAUUGGGUAAACAUUUUUAAACAAUCUAAUGGCAACAGGACCCAAGAUUAAAAUGACAGUAGCAAAAUAAACUAAUGUUUCCACAUUUAGCUCGGAUAGCAAUAUUAAAAAAGUACAACUCACUUUGCAAUUUGCUUUAAUUACAGUUUUGUAACUCAGUUUUAUUAACAAGGCACAAAAUGAAACAAUUGGAUACAAUUUACAAUAAUAUACAGUAUAGUUAAGGCUGUCCACCAUAAAUUCAGUAGUCAAAAAGCAUCAACAUUGAAAAUGACAGCUUGAUCCAUGUAUGGAAACAAAGAAGUUGCACAUUCAGAACCGUCAUAUAUUUCCUAGAGUGGGAUAAAGGAUAGUGUUUUGGCUCCCCAAGACAAAACUCAGCUUUGUGUUACAUAACAUUUCUAAUAUUUUUGUUUAAUUACGAUGCAGGAUAACUGAAAUGAGAGAAUUUUUAAAACAAUUCUAAGACAAUGAUACAUUUCACAAAAAAAAGGUGGAGUGUUUACUCUUAAAAGUCCUCCAUUUCUAAACAAAACAUUCUCAGUUCUCUGAUCUACAUCCAGGUCAUGCUUGACACAAACUCAAAGUCCAUUAGAGCUCAAUGAUUUUUUUUUGUUAGAAGGAAGACAAAACAGGGUCAGAUAAAUUGUAACAGAGAUAGUAGGAACUGCCGAUGCUGGAGAAUCUGAGAUUAACACGGUGUGAAGCUGGAUGAGCACAGCAGGCCAAGCAGCAUCAGAAG
Stegostoma tigrinum is the source of this 2195-nucleotide long non-coding RNA. RefSeq lists it as uncharacterized. Lineage: Eukaryota; Metazoa; Chordata; Chondrichthyes; Orectolobiformes; Stegostomatidae. The record is from RefSeq and is a predicted model, not a curated record. The transcript has 3 exons.